This 485-nucleotide ribosomal RNA is filed under the name uncultured bacterium. RNAcentral describes it as "bacterial SSU rRNA". It matches the Rfam family "Bacterial small subunit ribosomal RNA", at positions 20 to 507 of the family's 1533-position model. The record is from RNAcentral.
UGGCUCAGGAUGAACGCUAGCGGGAGGCCUAACACAUGCAAGCCGAGCGGUAGAGAUUCUUCGGAAUCUUGAGAGCGGCGUACGGGUGCGGAACACGUGUGCAACCUACCUUUAUCUGGAGAUAGCCUUUCGAAAGGAAGAUUAAUACUCCAUAAUAUAUUGAUUGGCAUCAAUUGAUAUUGAAAGCUCCGGCGGAUAGAGAUGGGCACGCGUAAGAUUAGUUAGUUGGUGAGGUAACGGCUCACCAAGACGAUGAUCUUUAGGGGCCUGAGAGGGUGAUCCCCCACACUGGUACUGAGACACGGACCAGACUCCUACGGGAGGCAGCAGUGAGGAAUAUUGGUCAAUGGGUGCAAGCCUGAACCAGCCAUCCCGCGUGAAGGACGACUGCCCUAUGGGUUGUAAACUUCUUUUGUAUAGGGAUAAACCUACCCUCGUGAGGGUAGCUGAAGGUACUAUACGAAUAAGCACCGGCUAACUCCGUG